RNAcentral lists this ribosomal RNA (494 nucleotides) under uncultured bacterium. RNAcentral's name for it is "partial 16S ribosomal RNA". It matches the Rfam family "Bacterial small subunit ribosomal RNA", at positions 28 to 507 of the family's 1533-position model. The record is from RNAcentral.
GACGAACGCUGGCGGCGUGCUUAACACAUGCAAGUCGAACGGAAAGGCCUGUCCUUCCUUGUGUUGGACGGGUGCUCGAGUGGCGAACGGGUGAGUAACACGUGAGUGAUCUGCCCCCAACUUGGGUAUAAGCCUGGGAAACUGGGUCUAAUUCCCGAUAGGACUGCAGGGUGGUGCCUGUGGUGGAAAACGAUUUUCUAGUGGUUGGGGAUGAGCUCGCGGCCUAUCAGCUUGUUGGUGGGGUAAUGGCCUACCAAGGCGGCGACGGGUAGCCGGCCUGAGAGGGUGGACGGGCACAUUGGGACUGAGAUACGGCCCAGACUCCUACGGGAGGCAGCAGUGGGGAAUAUUGCACAAUGGGCGGAAGCCUGAUGCAGCGACGCCGCGUGGGGGAUGACGGCCUUCGGGUUGUAAACUCCUUUCGACCGCGAGGAAGCCGCCUGGUUGGAAGGGUGGUGACGGUAGUGGUAGAAGAAGCACCGGCUAACUACGUG